Molecule: ribosomal RNA, 506 nt
Filed under: uncultured bacterium
Lineage: Bacteria
Description: partial 16S ribosomal RNA
Rfam family: Bacterial small subunit ribosomal RNA
Source: RNAcentral
GUUGAACGCAGGCGGCAGGCCUAACACAUGCAAGUCGAACGGUAACAGGAAACAGCUUGCUGUUUCGCUGACGAGUGGCGGACGGGUGAGUAAUGUCUGGGAAACUGCCUGAUGGAGGGGGAUAACUACUGGAAACGGUAGCUAAUACCGCAUAACGUCGCAAGACCAAAGAGGGGGACCUUCGGGCCUCUUGCCAUCGGAUGUGCCCAGAUGGGAUUAGCUAGUAGGUGGGGUAACGGCUCACCUAGGCGACGAUCCCUAGCUGGUCUGAGAGGAUGACCAGCCACACUGGAACUGAGACACGGUCCAGACUCCUACGGGAGGCAGCAGUGGGGAAUAUUGCACAAUGGGCGCAAGCCUGAUGCAGCCAUGCCGCGUGUAUGAAGAAGGCCUUCGGGUUGUAAAGUACUUUCAGCGGGGAGGAAGGGAGUAAAGUUAAUACCUUUGCUCAUUGACGUUACCCGCAGAAGAAGCACCGGCUAACUCCGUGCCAGCCGCCGCCGUAA